GGCGGCAGGCCUAACACAUGCAAGUCGAUCGGUAUCAGGAAGCAGCUUGCUGCUAUGCUGACGAGUGGCGGACGGGUGAGUAAUGUCUGCGAUACUGCCUGAUGGAGGCGGAUAACUACUGGAAACGGUAGCUAAUACCGCAUAACGUCGCAAGCACAAAGAGGCGGACCUUAGGGCCUCUUGCCAUCGGAUGUGCCCAGAUGGGAUUAGCUAGUAGGUGGGGUAACGGCUCACCUAGGCGACGAUCCCUAGCUGGUCUGAGAGGAUGACCAGCAACACUGGAACUGAGACACGGUCCAGACUCCUACGGGAGGCAGCAGUGGGGAAUAUUGCACAAUGGGCGCAAGCCUGAUGCAGCCAUGCNGCGUGUAUGAAGAAGGCCUUCGGGUUGUAAAGUACUAUCAGCGCGGAGGAAGGGAGUAAAGUUAAUACCUAUGCUCAUUGACGUUACCCGCAGAAGAAGCACCGGCUAACUCCGUGCCAGCAGCCGCGGUAAUACGGAGGGUGCAAGCGUUAAUCGGAAUUACUGGGCGUAAAGCGCACGCAGGCGGUUUGUUAAGUCAGAUGUGAUAUCCGCGGGCUCAACCUGGGAACUGCAUCUGAUACUGGCAAGCUUGAGUCUCGUAGAGGCGGGUAGAAUUCCAGGUGUAGCGGUGAAAUGCGUAGAGAUCUGGAGGAAUACCGGUGGCGAAGGCGGCCCCCUGGACGAAGACUGACGCUCAGGUGCGAAAGCGUGGGGAGCAUACAGGAUUAGAUACCCUGGUAGUCCACGCCGUAAACGAUGUCGACUUGGAGGUUGUGCCCUUGAGGCGUGGCUUCCGGAUCUAACGCGUUAAGUCGACCGCCUGGGGAGUACGGCCGCAAGGUUAAAACUCAAAUGAAUUGACGGGGGCCGCACAAGCGGUGGAGCAUGUGGUUUAAUUCGAUGCAACGCGAAGAACCUUACCUGGUCUUGACAUCCACGGAAGUAUUCAGAGAUGAGAAUGUGC
RNAcentral lists this ribosomal RNA (989 nucleotides) under Escherichia coli. Its description in RNAcentral is "bacterial SSU rRNA". It matches the Rfam family "Bacterial small subunit ribosomal RNA", at positions 38 to 1017 of the family's 1533-position model. The record is from RNAcentral. Lineage: Bacteria; Pseudomonadati; Pseudomonadota; Gammaproteobacteria; Enterobacterales; Enterobacteriaceae.